UAGGGAAUCUUCGGCAAUGGACGGAAGUCUGACCGAGCAACGCCGCGUGAGUGAAGAAGGUUUUCGGAUCGUAAAGCUCUGUUGUUAGAGAAGAACGUUGGUAGGAGUGGAAAAUCUACCAAGUGACGGUAACUAACCAGAAAGGGACGGCUAACUACGUGCCAGCAGCCGCGGUAAUACGUAGGGUCCAAGCGUUAAUCGGAAUUACUGGGCGUAAAGCGUGCGCAGGCGGUUGUGCAAGACCGAUGUGAAAUCCCCGGGCUUAACCUGGGAAUUGCUUUGGUGACUGCACGGCUAGAGUGUGUCAGAGGGGGGUAGAAUUCCACGUGUAGCAGUGAAAUGCGUAGAGAUGUGGAGGAAUACCGAUGGCGAAGGCAGCCCCCUGGGAUAACACUGACGCUCAUGCACGAAAGCGUGGGGAGCAAACAGG
This 430-nucleotide ribosomal RNA is filed under the name Bacillota bacterium. Its description in RNAcentral is "Firmicutes bacterium partial 16S ribosomal RNA". It matches the Rfam family "Bacterial small subunit ribosomal RNA", at positions 355 to 776 of the family's 1533-position model. Lineage: Bacteria; Bacillati; Bacillota. The record is from RNAcentral.